UGUUUAAAUUGUUAUGUUUUAUAAUGAGCUACAUCAUGACAUUUGCACAUAUAAGGUCAAGACUUCCGACGAACAUUUCUCUGAGUACAACAUAAUUGUCAGCAGCAGCGGGGGUAGUCCAUACUGAACAUUAUGUCCAAACUGCAAGCCGAUUACUUAAAAUGUUCAGUUGUUGGUUGAAUGGGACAGAGAUGCACAACUGACA
Sphaeramia orbicularis (orbiculate cardinalfish) is the source of this 205-nucleotide long non-coding RNA. RefSeq lists it as uncharacterized. The transcript has 4 exons. The record is from RefSeq and is a predicted model, not a curated record. NCBI's taxonomy places the organism in Eukaryota, Metazoa, Chordata, Actinopteri, Kurtiformes, Apogonidae.